GCCGUUAGGCGCGUGCUGCAGA
RNAcentral lists this non-coding RNA (22 nucleotides) under Arabidopsis thaliana (thale cress). Lineage: Eukaryota; Viridiplantae; Streptophyta; Magnoliopsida; Brassicales; Brassicaceae. The record is from RNAcentral.